Molecule: RNase P RNA, 379 nt
Filed under: Candidatus Gullanella endobia
Lineage: Bacteria; Pseudomonadati; Pseudomonadota; Gammaproteobacteria; Enterobacterales; Enterobacteriaceae
Description: Bacterial RNase P class A
Rfam family: Bacterial RNase P class A
About the family: Ribonuclease P (RNase P) is a ubiquitous endoribonuclease, found in archaea, bacteria and eukarya as well as chloroplasts and mitochondria. Its best characterised activity is the generation of mature 5'-ends of tRNAs by cleaving the 5'-leader elements of precursor-tRNAs. Cellular RNase Ps are ribonucleoproteins.
Source: Rfam by way of RNAcentral
GGAGUUGACUAGACAGUCGCUGCUUUAUUAUUGCCAUUUAUAAUGGUAAAAGGUAGAGGGGAGGAAAGUCCGGGCUCCAUAGGGCAGGGUGCCAGGUAAUACAUGGGGGGUGUAAACCUACGACAAGUGCAACAGAAAACAAACCACCGAUGGCCUGUAUAUGCAGGAUCAGGUAAGGGUGAAAUGGUGCGGUAAGAGCGCACCGCACAACUGGUAACAGUUAGUGGCACGGUAAACUCCACCUGGAGCAAAGCUAAAUAGAGAUUCGCAUGGUACGGCCCGUACUGAAUCUGGGUAGGCUGCUUGAGUCAGUGCGUGAGCAUUGACCUAGAUGAAUGACUGUCCACGACAGAACCCGGCUUAACGGUCAACUCCAUUC